This is a transfer RNA of Volvox carteri f. nagariensis, 72 nucleotides long. It matches the Rfam family "tRNA". Rfam says of the family: Transfer RNA (tRNA) molecules are approximately 80 nucleotides in length. Their secondary structure includes four short double-helical elements and three loops (D, anti-codon, and T loops). NCBI's taxonomy places the organism in Eukaryota, Viridiplantae, Chlorophyta, Chlorophyceae, Chlamydomonadales, Volvocaceae. The record is from Rfam.
GGGAGUUUGGUCUAGUGGUAUAAUUCUCGCUUAGGGUGCGAGAGGUCGUGUGUUCAAUUCCCGCAACUCCCC